GUGACCUCAAAUCAGGUAGGACUACCCGCUGAACUUAAGCAUAUCAAUAAGCGGAGGAAAAGAAACUAACAAGGAUUCCCCUAGUAACUGCGAGUGAAGCGGGAAAAGCUCAAAUUUAAAAUCUGGUGGUCUUUUGGCUGCCCGAGUUGUAAUCUAGAGAAGUGUUAUCCGCGCUGGACCGUGUACAAGUCUCCUGGAAUGGAGCAUCAUAGAGGGUGAGAAUCCCGUCUUUGACAUGGACUCCCAGGGCUUUUGUGAUGCGCUCUCAAAGAGUCGAGUUGUUUGGGAAUGCAGCUCAAAAUGGGUGGUAAAUUCCAUCUAAAGCUAAAUAUUGGCGAGAGACCGAUAGCGAACAAGUACCGUGAGGGAAAGAUGAAAAGAACUUUGGAAAGAGAGUUAAACAGUGCGUGAAAUUGCUGAAAGGGAAACGCUUGAAGUCAGUCACGUUGUCCAGGGAUCAACCUUGCUUUUGCUUUGGUGCACUUUCUGGUUAACGGGUCAGCAUCAAUUUUGACCAUUGGAAAAAGAUUAGGGGAAUGUGACAUCUUCGGAUGUGUUUAUAGUCCUUGGUUGCAUACAAUGGUUGGGAUUGAGGAACUCAGCACGC
This 607-nucleotide ribosomal RNA is filed under the name Cortinarius rubellus. Its description in RNAcentral is "eukaryotic LSU rRNA". It matches the Rfam family "Eukaryotic large subunit ribosomal RNA", at positions 1 to 604 of the family's 3401-position model. The record is from RNAcentral. Lineage: Eukaryota; Fungi; Basidiomycota; Agaricomycetes; Agaricales; Cortinariaceae.